CACUCAUUUUGUAUUAUUUUCUCAUUUGUUCUUUUAUUAUUCAAUUUCUACCACAUACUUCACAAUGCUACUGAAGGAAACAGAGUUGGCACUGUGAGGAGUAUUUCUUGCACAUCUGUAUCAUAAAGUAUUGUACUACGGUGCGCAUGUAACUUGCUAAAAGCUUACUCUGUGGGAAUACAAUUGAUUAUUGCAGGACCUUGUGUAUGCUUCCCAAGGCAACUCUGGUUCAUGUGCACCGUAGUGGGCAAGUGUUUUGAGGCAAACAUCAAUCACAAUGUAGCAGAAAAUGUCAAUUUAGAACUACAAAAUCAGGAAAAUCUGAAUGUGGGGGACAACAUGAAAUGCUAUUAGACUUACUACACCAAAAGUUUAGCAGUUCAAGCUUACCAGGUAUUCUAACUAAUAGGCUUUGUUCCAUUCCUAGAAGACCUGAUACUUGGGAUGCAUAGUUAGCUUGGGCAAUAGGAGUUCUAAAAGGCAGGAAAACUUUGUUGUUAUCAUUUUGAAGUUUCUUGGAUUGCUCUUAUAUAUCCAACUUUGGAUGGAGAAAACUCUCAAUGGCAUGAGAACAACUUAAAGAUGAAAAAGCUACAUUCAAUAUUAUUGUCGUAAAGGUUAGAUGUACUGGCAUCAAGCUGGCAUAUUGUGAAUUCUGCCAGAAACAAAGGGAAAUGAUCUUUGUAUGAAUGCUCUAUGGUGGGUUUCUCAUCUUUCUUCCGUCAAUAUUUUUGCACAAGUGGUGUCAACCUUCAAAGGGGAACAAAAAUUUGCUCCAGGUAAUGAAUUAGCUCCCUUCUCUUUCAGCAACAUGGUUGCCUCAAAGCCAACUUCAUGACACACAUUGGUCCCUAAAAAUGUCAAUUUUACAUCCCACUUAAUCUUUCUAUGAAUCAUUUAAUGGCCAAAAAGCAAUUAGUAAUAAACUUUCGUACCUUUCCUUAGGCUCCAGUAAUCUACAAGGCCAAGUACGGAGUACCAAACUAAAUUUUUGGGACCUUAACAUGUUUUUGUCCAGUAGUCAGCUUAGAGGGGAAAAUCCCAGAUUUCUUAGACCAAUUUAGGCAUCUUGCAUAUCAUUUUUUGUAUAUAUGAUAACUUCUUCGAUGGUCCCAUCUCAAAAUCUCUUGGAAAAUUGUUAACCUUGUGGACAUUACAUCUUAAAUUGAAUCAAUUGAAUGGGGGAACCACACUAGAAAGCUGGGUUCUACUUUCAUACU
This is a long non-coding RNA of Quercus lobata, 1220 nucleotides long. RefSeq lists it as uncharacterized. The record is from RefSeq and is a predicted model, not a curated record. The transcript has 3 exons. Lineage: Eukaryota; Viridiplantae; Streptophyta; Magnoliopsida; Fagales; Fagaceae.